Podarcis lilfordi (Lilford's wall lizard) is the source of this 5614-nucleotide non-coding RNA. NCBI's taxonomy places the organism in Eukaryota, Metazoa, Chordata, Lepidosauria, Squamata, Lacertidae. The record is from the annotation of a GenBank genome assembly.
CAGCUGCCCUCUAUAGGCCUACAACCUCUUGUUUCUGUGCCCUGGGAACAGUGUCCAAGGCAAAGGGAGGGUCGGGAGAAAAGAACAGCAUUCCUUAUUAACUUGAAGAGGAAGACAACAUAUGGCUAAAUAAGAAACAGGUAUUUCAGCUGACAAAUCUAAGCCUAAACAUUAUGUUGGACUGAGGAAAAUACCCCGAGUCUGAUUACAGGCCCACUCAUUCACCUGCAUUCGCCUCAAGACUUCACAGCAGCUCCAUAUGACUUUCAAGUCAGGGGAUUUCUGCCAGUUCUGCCAGUACUUACCUUGAGGAAUAGUGAGAGAGGGAAUUGAAGAAGCUUAAGCUUUAUUCCUUACCUCCAGCCUGAAGAAACAGGUACUUUUAUAUAUAUAUAAAUGGGACACCGGUUAUUAUUUGAAUGAUCUGAUUGGUGGUGUUGGGUUAGAGCUGUGCUACCCUGUUUUGUAGUGAUUAGUCAGCAUGCAUGAACAUGCUACACAUUCACAAUAAACCACAAUAAGUGUUUGAAAGACCCUUUAUAAAUGAGAUAUGCAAACUCUUUCAGAUUAAACCAUUCUUUAGACUAAUGCAUAGUAUCACAGUAAUAAUUGGAUCCAAAUAAUUUGGGUCCCAAAUAAUUUAGACCCAAAUAUAUGCAGGAUAUCAGAGACAACCCUUGUCCAAAUUCCAUGUUUAGGAGAAGUACAUCACACGUAUCUACAAAAAAAGGAGGCCUUAUCUAUGAUGGUGCCACAACUGUGAAAUACCCUCCUGAUGGUGGUACUCCUGGAACUUAAACUGUUAUAUCUGGUACCAGAUUAAAACCUGUUUAUUUGCUCAUGUAUUUUAGAUGGUGGUGUUUUUAGUUAGUUGAAUGCUUUUAUUCCUCUUAAUUUUAUUGUAUCGCUGCUUGUGUUUUAUAUUUGUGUCCCACCCUGAAAAGUAUUUUUGGGUAUAGGUCAAUUUAUAAUAAUUUAAAAUAAGUAUAUAGAACUGAGAUGCUUUAAAUUCUGUGCUCACAAUGCACUUGUGUGCUGUAUUUUUAAAUAGGUAGAACUGCUUGAAAGGAAAUUUGUUAACGUGAAGUAAUAAAAAGGCUACUUUACAUUUCCAUAGCUUCAAAAUAUUAGGAAAGAUACAUUUUCUUGAAAUAACAAGUGGGGAUUUGAUACGAAUUUUUUUAAGGAAAGAUAUCUGAAGAUUUAUUAGCCUGACAAUUUGAUGCUACUCUUGGGGACUACACGAUUCCCUGACCAUUCCUUGACACUCUGAAGUCCUUGUUGUGACAUGGGCUACAGGGUCCUGGAAAGUGCAUGCUUUGCAUAAGUGUGACACCAGGUUUGAUGUCUAGCAUCUGCAUUUUAUUAAUUUGGGAAAGAAUAUAUUGGUUUGAUAUUUUCAGCCAUCAAAUGGCAGUCAGGACCACUAUAAUGUGAUAGGAAAAUAAAUGACAGCUUUGUUAAAAUUUACUUGGUAAAAGACGUGCCCCAUUGUUCUGAAGCCUCCUAUAGCAGCUCAGCCCUUUAUACUGUGCUUUUCCCCCUGCAGCCAGACAUUUCUACUCCUUUCUUAUUAUGGUCUCUAUGUUCUUCUGUUUCUCCAGCAGAACUGAAGAACAUGUUCUUCAGUGAGGUGGUUGUUGUUUUUUGAUUCCCUGGUGGGCAGGGUUUAAGCACUGUAAAUCUCCCAACCAUGCCUCUCUCAUUAAAUAUCAUUGCUUACAGCCUUUUAUCCCAUUGUAGAAAUUGCCCUGUGAGAACUGGCAAUAAUGAGGAUGGGGAUAGAUCAGUCAACAUGUGUCCUAGAUAUCUUGUCAACAUUUUGUGCUGUCUUCAUUCAUGUUUCAUCACAAAUUCCACAGUGACAAGCUAAAAGGUUACCAUUUAAAAUGGUGAUUAAUGUAGUUGUGUUUGAAAUUAGAUCCACUGCAAAUAAUAUGAACAUAGAUCUUAUAAGUUGUUUCCAGUGCCUUUCUAAACUGGGGAACAAAGUGUGUUGUACAUGUUCUUGGGUUAAAAGCUCAAUGAGCAUAUGUUGGGGUUAAUUAUAAUUCUUCCUAUUUGAGAUUACUAGGGAGGUGAGAGGGAAAAGGUUAGGAAACAGAACCACAGUUGACAUUUAUAAGCUUAUCUUAAUUAAUAUAUCUUCUGUCCGGUGCAUGAAAUUACUUCCUCCUUUGCAUGUGUCUGCAUUAAAGCUAUGUAGAGGUCUGUGAGCAAUAAGCGUAUCUGUACUUUUAGACUAUAGCAGCAAUACUUCCUUGUUAGAUAAAAUUAUUUCAUAUACUCAAAACUGAAUAUAAGGCAUAAAAUAAACAAGACACUUUGACUGUGGUAUUAAAAAGCAAAAGAGACUAGCUAAAAAUGUGAAUGACAGGAAUGACAGAAGACUAGAAAGUGAUAGAAUGAGGAACCCAUGUGUUUUGCUUAAGGUGUGAGACAGAUCUCAGUAACAGCUGGACUUUAUAUUUUCAAAAAAUGGAGACGCCAUUGUUUCCUUAUCCCAUAAUUCUAUGGGUGACCUGAUAACUGUAGCACCUAACAGGGACUAGUUUAUUGUUUGCAAUCUCCAUCUUAAGACUGCAUUUAAAUGCAGACCUCAUGACUACAAUAUCCAACCUAAUAUUUGUACUUCUUUGUUUUUGAUUCCUCAUCCAUCUCAUCCCCUGCUUUGUGUACCAUUUAGCCUGAUGAAGAGUUCUGGGAAACUAUAUUUUGGGUGGAUCUUAAUAUGCAUAUAGCCCAGUUGUGGAUUUUAAUAUUGGCUCUUAUGGACCAAUGCAGCUGUAUUUCCUUUUUAUGCAGCUUAAAAGUAACAUCCAGCUACUGGAAAUAUUGGUUAGUGUCAUAUUGAUUCAGGUAAAACUAAUUGAGCUAGAAAACUGGAUGUUCUUGGAAGAAUAGGUGACCAGUAGGAAAGCAGACCACAACCCUUCUGAUUCAGCCCUAGUGAUAGAAUUUUAGAGGAAGACAGUGUUCCUUUGACAAAAUUACAAUACAAGUCCUGCAUGUAUUCAAAACAUAUACCCAGCUAGAUUAAUAUAUGUAUUAACAUCAGCAAUUAAUUAUUCGAAGGCAUUACAUUGCCUGCAACAUUUGAUACAACUGACAGAAUUUAGCAUACUGAAUUAGCAUAUUGCAGUGUACUGCUGUGGAUGACCUAUUUCUCUGUAUCCUUUGAGAAUUAAGAUAGAGGAAGCUCUUGCAAGAGAAUCCUUGACCUCAGCAGUUAGGCAGCAAGUCGAUGGGUAGAUGAAAUACUGUAAUCUCUAUCAGGGCAGUACAAGAGAACAGGGACGUUUGUCAGCAUGAAGCAACCUUUAAUUUUCUGUUUAUAUGACAUUGACUCAGACUUGGCUCAUGUUCUCCAGUAUAAAACUUCAUAAUUAUGAAGUGCACACAAAGCCACAUUCAUACAAAUUACCAAGUUUCCACAAUUUUUUUCACCAUGGUUGCCUUGGCAAAUGUCCCUUCUGCAAAUAUCUGCCCCUCCAGUAAUAAUCUUGAAGCUGAGUGCAACAGGGAUGAGCCUCCAUUUUUCCUCCUGAGCUAUGGACUAAGAUGGAGGGCAGGGGGUUGUUCCUAUCAUGCUGGUGUCGAAUGUCUGAUGUCAAAGACAACACAAGGGAGGGAUAAGCCCAGCCAUAAUUUCUGACCACUGCAAAAUGAAAAUAUACAUUCAAGUUCCUCUAACCUAGCAAGGCUGAGCCAUUUAAAUGGCACAUCUACUGCAUACUGAUCAUAUCAGCUAACCACCUCUUGUGAGGGGAUUUUUUUAUAGUAUAGCAGUAAGCACAAUUGUUAUAUAUGAUGAUCUCUCGAUUGGUUCCCAUCUAAACAACUAUAAUUAGAACUGCAAAUGCUGUCCGAUGUGGUAUAUAUCUAGUGCCAAAAAAGUGACAUCUGUGUAUUGGAACCCAGAGUGUGCAAGAACCAAUCAAGCUGGAUUUUCAAAUUCACAUUGUUUCUUCUUUUCAUGAUAGAGCACUGUGAUAGCAGUUCUGGACACACACACAUGGUAUACAGGAAAGUGAAUGCUUUGGAAAAACUUGGGAAUAUUUUGGGGGGUUGCUGUUUAAUAUUUUCAUACAUGAGCUCAGCAGUUCCUGCAAUGCACAAUCUACAAUAACUGUAAUAAAGUGUUUGUAAUGGAGUGGGUUGGUAUUGCAUAGUAACAAGAUGACUUUUUUUCUAGUAUGGUUUUUAAAUGUGAUAUUUGGAAACCAUUAUUUUAGUUUUUAGGUAUCUUAUUUAAUCCAACCAUAACACAAACACUAACAUUUGCUCAAUCUACUUUAUAAAAUGUAGGAUGAAGGUCUUACUUUAAGAAGGGCUUUGGUUAUACAGUAUGUUAAAAGAAGGAAAGUGGGUCUCAUGUUGGGUUUCAAUCUGAGGUAAGAAUGUGUGUAUCUCCUCGUGUGAUAAAAUGUGAGAAUGCCUUUCCUGGAUAUUAUACUGGAAGCAUGAAAACUAGAUGCACAAAUCUCUGGCAGAUCCACUUUCUGCUGACUUGCCAUAAUGUUGAAAGCUCCUGAGAGUAAAAGGGAGAUGUUUUAAACAGGAAAGGUUUUCCUUAAAGAUGUAGGUAGGCAGCUGACCCUGAAUAAAGUACCCUUCACUUUCAGUUCUGACUGUGAAAAAACUACUAAAGACUCUUUCUAGCUCUUUUAACACUGGAAUCAUCUUUAAAAUUCAAAUAAAUUUUGGAAAUAGAAUGUGUUCUAAAUAAAGCAAAGGUCAUGAAGCAAAUUCAGAAAAUGCAGAAAAUACAGAGAACAGAUAAAUAAAACACACAUUUCUGCAUAUUUUCAGUUGAAAAAUUAUGAUAACUAUAAAAGUGCUUACUAUAAGAAACACAAAUACUGUGAGUAUGUCUGUGGAAUUAAAACCUGAGAUGGAGUUGUAACGUUGUAGUAGACCACAUAUAUUGCAUGUAAAACUCCCAGGUUAUUUCCCUGAGUUCUUCAGGUAGGACUGGGAAAUAUUCCUCUUGGAUACCUGUCGCCAGCCAAUUUAGAAAAUAUUAGACUGAAGAAAUGACACAAAAUAUGGCAAGUUUUAUAGAACAUGGUUCAGCUUUAUUUCCUGCACAUGGAAUGCAGCUUCCUAUGAGAUACACAAUCACAAACAUUGGAAGCAUAUAGUUUACAGCUCAUGGUUAGUGAUGAUUGAGCUUAACCCAUUUCAGAUGACACAGUAUGCCAAACCUUGGCUUAGCUCAGUGCAGUACUGGAGCAAAAGGACCAGGAAGACGCAGAGUGCCAUCCCAGUAAGCCAUAGGUUGACUUACCAUAUUGUGUGAAUGAGGCCAUUAUAGAUCUUUGUCCAAAUUGCAUUCUUAGCCUUCUGAAAUUUUAUUUUAGUGUUAAACUAGAUGUAUUUUCAAGGAAUAAAUGAGUAACAGUAUAUAUCUUUUUCAGCGUAUAUAUAUUUCUCUUCUUAAUUAAUUGAGCAUUAUAGUCUCAGAGUAGAUAGUGAAUGUUAAAUUAAGAUUCUCACUUAAGGCACUUACCUUAUUUAUUAAUAACCUACAGAAUGUUGAUGCAUUUUUUGAGAAAGACAUUUAAAAGGAGGGGAAAGGCUUUUGUAGAAGGAAAGGGCCUUACAUUUAGUC